CCCAGCCGAGCCAGGGUCUUAUAUAGACAGGUCUUGCCAUGACUUCACAAUGUGAAGGCACAUGUGAGGGCACAGCAAGAAAUGGGCCAAUUAUGCAAUCAUGGCUGGGGAUGUCUGAGACCCCAGUGGUUUCCUCACUUUUUAUUCCCAAAACCCCUUUACUCAAUAAAAAAAAAAAAGACCCCCAAUGGGCUUUUUGUUUGUUUGUGUGGGCUUUUCAAGAUUGAUAUUUACUUUGUUAGAAAUCAAAAUCUAUAAGAUGGUUCAGUGGCCUUUUCACUUCAAGUUUAGAAAACUGUAAUUUUGGCUUGUAUAGACCUCGUAAUGUCUACACUUAAAAUACCCAGUUCCUGGUCUCAAAAUGGUGCUACAACAUAUAAGGAAAUGUUGUGUUGUGUACAACACGAUAAGGCUCAUUAUUAACAUCUAUAAAGCUCAGAGGAAGAUUGCUUCUCAUCAUAUUUUCACUGAUAAGGUUGUGAGGAGAUUUCUCAUCAGAAACCUUGGAGGCUAGAAGGCAUGGGUUGAUGUGUUUAAAGCACUGAAGGAAAAAAGCUGUCAACCAAGAAUCCUACAUUUGGGAAAACUGUCCUUCAAAAAUGAGGAAGAAAUGAAGACAUUCCCAGAUCAACCAAAGCUGAAAGCCUUGCCCUGAUGACUAGACCGGCCCUGCAGUGAAGGGGGUCCUUAAGGUUGAAAUGAAAGGGCACUGAACAAGUAACUCGAAGCCUUCUGAAGAGAUAAUCUCCGGUAAAGGUAAACAGACAGACAAUUAUGAACGCUAGUACUGUUAUGACUUUGGUCUGUAGCUCUACUUUUUGUUCUCUAUGUUAAGAGACUGAUAUAUUUAAAAACCUAAUUAUUCAUCUAUGCUUUUGGACACAAGAUGCAUAAAGAUGUGAUUUUGUGACAUUAACAACUGACAGAAGGUGGGGUCAGGGCUGUAAAGUAGCUGAGUUUUCAUGUGUUAUUGAGGUUAAGCUGGUAUAAAUUGACACUACAAUGUUGUAACUUUAGGAUGUUAAAAGCAAUCCCAUGGUAACCACACACAACCACACACACACACACACACACACACGCCACAGAACAUACACAAAAGGAAAUGAGAAGGGAAUUAAAAUGUUUCACUACAAAAAAAAAAAUCAACUAAAUGCAAAAGAAGAUAGUCAUGCAGAAAGUUUGAGACAGAAAGCAAUUAAGGCAUAUAGAAAACAAAGAGCAAACCACAGAAGGAAUUCCUUCCUUAUCAGUAAUGACUUUAAAUGUAAGCAGAUUAAACAGAUUAGUGAAAUGGAUAAAAACAUAGGAUCCAACUCUCUGUUACCUACAAGGGACUCAGAUCCAAAGACACAAAAAAGGUGAAUGUGAAAGGAAGGAAAAAGAUAAUCCAUGCAAAUGCAGCCAAAAGAAAGGGUGGAGUGGCUGUAAUAAUACCAGACAGAACAGACGUUAAAUCGGAAAAUGUUACAAGAGACAAAGAAGGACAUUUUAUAUGAAUUAAGAGGUUCAGUACAGCAAGAAGAAAAGAUGAUAAACAUUUACACACAUAAUGAGAGGCCAUUAUCGACAGAACUGAAGGGAAAAAUAGUUCUAUAAUAAUCGUUGGAGCCUUCCAUAUCCCACUGUCAAUAACGGACAGGACAACCAGACAGAAGGUAAGUAAGGACACAGAGGAUUUGAAGAACACCAUAGCCCAGCCAGAUCUAACAGACGGGCACGGGACCCCACCCAACAAUAACGGCACGCGGGACCUUCUCUGAGACAGUCUUUGCAUUAGGUCACGAGUUAAGUCUCAGUAGAUUUCACAAGAUAGAUAUCAUACAAAGUAUCUUUUCCAACCACAAGAAGAUGAAGUCAGAAAUGGGUAACAGAAGGAAGAGUGGAAAAUUUAAACAGCUGUGAAAACUGAAAACACACUCUCAAAGAACCAAUGUGUCGAAGAAGAAAUCACAGUGGAAUGCGAACAUACGUAGAGGUGAAGGGAAAUGAAACACGACGCGUCAAAACUCCUGGAAAACAACAAAGCAGUGGCGAGGGGGAAAUUUAUAGCUGUAAACGCUCACAGUAAACAUCAAGACAGAUCUUAAAUCAACACCAUAGACGUGCAACUUAAGAAACUAGAAAAAGCCAAAGGUAGCAAAGGGAAGGACAUAAUAAAGAUUAGAGCGGAGAUAAAUGAAACAGAGGCUAGAAAAACGAAAGAGAUAAUCAAUGGACCCAAGAGCUGGUCCUUUGAAAACACCAAACUGCUAGCCGGAUUGCCGGUGGAGGCAGAGAAGACUCAAUGACUGCAUUGCCACUGACUCCUUACAGACGUAGGAAGGGUUAGAGUGCUAUCAACAAGUGUAUUCCAGCUAAUUGGAGAAUCCAGAUACAAUGGACCAAUUUCUAGACCUAGAAAACCUACCAAGACUAAAUCACAAAGAAAGAGAAAAUCGGAAGAGAUUCGUACAUAACUAGGGAGGAGCCUGAGGCUGUAAUCGAAGAUCACUUGACCAAAAAAAGCCCCGGAUCUGACAGCCUCACUGGUGAAUUCUACCAAACAUUGGAAGAAUUGACACCAAUCUUCUCAAACUCUUCCAAAAAAUUCAGGAAAGAACACUUCCUAACUAGUUCUAUCAGGCCGCCAUUGCUUUGAUGCACCCUAAAUAUCUCUGGGCCACCUUCCAGACAGUCACCAGAGGAGUUUUCUAAAAUAUCCAGCCAGAUGAGUUAUUUUCUCAGCGACAAAAGAGACCUUUCUCUUGUCUGUGGAAAGAGAGGACCAGCAGUGUCUCCAGAAUCAGGCUGAACAUCUAUGGACCUCUUCUGAGAGCCUCCGUCCACAACGGAUGGGCCACACCGCAGACUGGACACAGCUGAAGCGGGGCAGGGGGUGGGGUGGGGAGGGGAGAAUUCACGGAGGUAACCUGGGCUUCAAUUGGUCUGUCAGCUGCUUUGACUGCUUUGGGCAUCUUUGAAUACAACAAGCCAUGUCCUCGUUGGACACUGGGAAAGGACAAUCUAUCUGCACAUCCAGCCCUAUGGGCUGGAGUCUCCCAAACGAGGCCAUCGUUUGUUUUGGCAACUCUGCUCCACCACAACAUUCAUCAGACUCCUGAGAAAGACGACCGAUGAAGGGAUCCAUAAAUGGGUUGGCAGGCCCUGCCUGCCUUUCCAUCUGCCCAGUGCUGGCCUUGAACACCCGGAGUGGCUUCUCUGCACGCUCUCCUGUGGGCUGCCUUCCUGCCUUGGUGCUGGCGCCCAGAGCUUGAGACCCAUUUCUGUCUGCAAGAGGACUGUGGUCUUUGCCCUUGCUCCGCUGAGCUCUGGCUGCCACCUGCAUCCAGCAUGCGUUCCCAGCACCCCCCGUCCCGGCUCCAGGCCGAGUUCAUCUGGGGCCUGCUACCAGGUACAGUGACCUUCCCCUUCCCUUGCAGACAUCAACUGUGAGUCAGCACUGAAUGCAGGUCCCCAGUAUACCCAUACCUUGCCAGCCUCAUCCUCAGUGCACACUCCCAGCUAGGAGUAGGGAUUUGGGGUGAGUGAGACACAGCCCCGUCCUCAGGCCUUGGCCUUUCUGACUCAGGAGGCUGACACACACGUGUACCAAUGAGGGACACAAAUACCCUGUCUUCUGUGACGGGGGGAGGGCGGUGAGCCUGGGAGAGCCCAGAAGAAGCCUGGAGGGCUUCCUGGAAGAGGUGGUGCCAAAGGUGUGCGAUGUUUCAUAUGAUCUCCGCAGUCCUUGGGUGUAAGCACCCUAGAGAAAGACACCUCCAUGGGGACUGUUGAGUCUAUCGCUACUGGCUAGGUGGCAUUUGGUGACAAAGGAACAAAUGGUCUGAGCUUCCUCUGCCUAGUCCUGGAUUGUUGGGGGUCUGGUUUCUUCAGGGCGACAGAGACACAGCCAUGGCUGACUGUUCUGGGGCCCUGGCUCCUGCCUUGCUCCUCUCUCCAGAACACGGGACACUGCGGUUGACCCCUAAACAGCUCUGUUCCUCCACCCCCCUGUCUCCGUACCCUUUGCACUAUGAUGGGGCAGCUCUUCCCAUCAGGGGUGGGGUCUAGAUCCCCCCGCUUUGAAUCUGCGCUGGCUCCGUGACUUGCUCUGGCCGACAGAAUGUGGUGGAAAUGAUGCCGUGCCAAUUUCAGGCGUAGGCCUCAAAGAGCCUCGUGGCCUUGCGUGCCCACCCUCUCGGGACCCUGGCACCACCAUGUGCAGAAGCCCAGACGGCCUCCUGGAAGAAUGGGACACGUGUAGCCUACUCACCACCGCCCCUAGUCUCCCCGGCCAACAGCCAGCCGGCAAUCAGCCGACCCCUGCCAUUGACCACACAUGCUUGAGGGAGCCCGGAAGACCUGCCCGAGCAGCUAGCUGCCCAGCUAAGUCAACAGUUGGUGCAAGCCGCUACAUUUCGGGGUGGUUAUUCCGCAGCAGAAACUAACUGAUCCCGGCAUCCCAGCAUUCUGGGCAGGAUGCACAGGCUGCAGGAUCUAUAGGCAGAGGCCUGGCUGCAGACAGAUGGACUGGUGGCCUCGGGACCGUCACCUGGCCCUCAUGUUUGCUGUCACCUGGGUUCUGCUCUACAGCUAGGAUCUGCAGUCAGCACAGUUACGACCAAGGUAUAGUUGGCCCGGGAGUGGCUGCGCCUAAGCCAUCUGGCCUCCUCUGCGGUUUCCUGGACCUACCCAGGGCCUUCCAGCCGCUUUCCGUGACACUCCAGGUGAAAGCCAAAUGCCUCACCAUCCCACACGAUGCUCCCUACUCCCACCCUGCUCCCAGCUUUGCGCCUCUCACUGCACUCCAGACACACCUGCCUCCAACCCAUAAGACCCAACCUGACCUCCGGGCCUUUGCAUGUGCAGCUCUCCUGACUAGCAUGCUCUUCCCGGAUACCCGCACGGCUCCCCCCCAUUUCCUUCAGGCUCUGACCCAGUAGGUUUGUUAAACAAACCGGAGAUCACAGAUCUUUCUUACAAAUGGCCUGCGUCACUCCCUGCACACUCCUCCCGCUUUAUUUCUUUUCAGAGCAAUUAGCAUGACUGGGUGCAAAAGUGUCCACAUUGUGAGACAUCCAGUGGGAGCCAGCGAAGGUUAGGAAGGGAGGGUGGGAUGCUGAGAAAGACGUCGGCAUUGGGACUUCAUAGCAUACAGCCACUGGCUGGGAGCCGAUGUGUCCUGAAGCAGCCUGGCACCCCCCACUGCCAGACAAACCAGCAGAGACACCGUUGGCAGUGCUUCAGCCACAUGUAGGAGCCGGUAUGGCACUCGGCAGCACAAGCCCAGAUUUAUGGCCAUGGCAUAACUGCUUACAAGUGUCAUGCAGGUGACACAUGUUUGUCAAAAACACCUCGUCUUGAGGUGGCCACAGAGAGCAGUUCCUGGAACACAAGGGGCUUCGCAAAGCAAGGCGUCCCUGGGGCUCCUGCCUUCUGAAACCCCUUAAUCGAGGGCCCACCAUUUAGGGCCCUUCUCAAAGUUUCUAGAGCCUACAAAAGAGAGAAGUCUCUAACUGGAGCUGGGACUCCCUGGCCGCAAACAGGAGCAACACCGGCUGGCCUGGCUCAGCCUCGGAAGCCGGGGAGGGCACCCUCCAGGGCCAAGGAGGCCCAGGGCAGGCCCAGACCCACCAUGGAUCCAGGGUUCAGGGACAAAGCUCUUCUGCACUCCGUGAGGGGCCCCAUGGCAGACCCAUCCCCGGGUCCUGGGCCAGUCACCAGGAGGGAGAGCUAGGGCCUGGUCGGGGUCCAAAGGGACCAUGCAGUCUCGUGGUAAAGAGCGUGGAAUCUGGAGCCUCAUAACGGCUCUGAGCCUCAGCUUCCGCAUCUAUAAGAUGAGUGUAAAAACAGUGUCUCCACACAGGGUGACGAGGACCCCACGGAAUGCUCAGACCGGGCCCCGGCACAUCACAAAUGCUGCAGAAGUGAGUUGUCAUCCACAUCAUCAGAGGCCAUGACUCUGCAUCACUCAGAGCAAGGGUGGAGCCUUCCCGGCAAGGAUUCGACUCUGUUCCAGGAAGAAGAGAGGCAAUGAGCAAAAAGACCACAGCAGGCAUGUCGUAGAGGAGGAAACGGAGUGCACAGAUGAACACGGGAAAAGCUGCCCGAUGUCACGAGGAUGCAGGGAAGUGCAAGGUAAGGUCCCCGUGAGAGAUUUCACAUCCAUCAGGCUCACAGUGAGGAAGACAUGUGACAUCUGACAGCACCGAGGGUCUGAAAGGAUGGAGAUCAGCUGGCACCCACGGUUGAUGAGUGUGAAACCUGGUCUGGCCACACUGAAAACCGCUUUGGCCUUUUCUUGUUAGGUUGACCAGUCCCAUGCCUUAGCACCCUGCAAAUCCACUCCCAGGAGCCACACAAGGCACACCCAAGAAGAGUUCGUCGCAGCACUGUUAGCAAGAGGAGGGGGAGAGAGGAAAUGACCCAGAUACUCCCUGACAGAGCAAUGCAAAAAGAAAUUGUAGCACGGUCACACAAUUUCUUUCCACACUGGUGACAGCAAACUCCAGCUACACAGCAGCACGGCUCAAGCUCAGAGAGAGGGAAAUGUUGAGUACAAAAAUGCAAAUUUUAGAGAUCUACGUACAGAGAGGAAGUUUUUAGAGCUUGAGAACGAAGAAGCAAUCUAAUGUUUAGGCUUAUUCAGUCGGCCUGUGAGCAAGAGAAUGGCAAACAAACAAACACCAAAUUGCAGAGAGGGGUGACCUGCAGGCAAGGAGGAGAUGGAAGUGACUGGGAAUGUUCUAGUUCUGGAGUUGAGCUGUGGGCCCACGGAUGUUCAUUGUCCCACCAUCCUUCAGAAUGCACGAAACACACGAAGUAUUAAAACAGAACAGAGGCAAAGGGGAAAAACAAGAAGAGAAACAUGGUGUGGGUCCAGACACAUCCAGUAUGAUUUCCUUGUCACACACAUAGUUGACUGUUUUCACGUGGUGUCACGGGGGGUCCCAAGAGUUCCGUCGAGAGGCCAGAGCGGGAAGUGAAAGGACAGGCAAUUGGACGAGGGCAUUCUUCCCUCUGGGCCUCGUUUCUUCAUAUGCAAAAUGAGGGGGUGUACCAGGAGUGCCAAAUGGCUGGCGUGCAUAACCCAGGCCUCCCCUUCCUGACCCGCUGCGGACACUACUCGUGCAUUGCAGCACUGUUUCACAUGGAGCACAGACACGCAGCGUUGGGCUCUGCAGCUGGGCCCUGCAGGCUGCCGGGAAUGCCAGUCUGAGAGGGCACACUAAGUGAUACCUACGUGCUGAUCUGGAGAGACCCAGAUCCCUCCAGCUGUGGCCUGGAAGGUUCUGAUGCCUCACCAGCAGGCACUAGCUAGUCUGAGAGGCAGGGGCCCUAGGGAGGAGCCGACUGGCUUUGGUACUGACCCUAGCCGGACCCUGGCAGCGUGCAGCCUCAGCGUCUACACUGCCCACGCCUGUGGCCUCCGGUCCGCCGCGGGGGGGCCCCUGGCCCCCCCAUCAUCUGACCAGAGCCCGUGCUCCCAUCCGUCGGGUGGGCAGGCUCAUGUCUACGCUCUGCGGGUGAGCUCUGCUGGACCUGAAAACGGCAAGAUGGGCGGAGGGCCAGGCAGGAGCUCAGCUUCACCCUCUAGCCCAGAGAGCCGUGGAAGCGGCCCCGUUGUGCCAGAUUCAACCAGCUCUCCGAGGCAGGAGGAUGGCGUUCCUUUCACCACCGCCUAGGUCUGCCUGGGCCUGCAGGCCUUUGCUCCUCUGCUCCCCUCGCUACCUGCCCCCCUGCCCCCGCCUGUCCCCUCUUCCUCCCCUUAUGGUCCCAGCUCACAAGACUCCUCCUUGGUUGUGCUAUUCCAUCUACCUCCCACCCCCCAUCCCCCCAGUGAGCGCUGACGUGCCUUCCUCUAGACAACCACCACACAGAGGUCAGCUUUCCCGAGGAGAGCUUGUGUGCUGGGUCUGGUCCAGUUUCUGUGGGUGUCUGUCCCCUCCAGUAUGGGGAGCCCAGCAGGGGCCACCUCACACCCGCAUGAAGAUAAUACCAUCAAACAGCCACAAUUCCUUGGAAUCAAUGGGCUUCUCCGAGAACUGUCCACCUACUGCCUCAGCCGCACAGCCAGUGAGGUUGGCAGUCGGGGAAUGGUACCUCCCUCCCUAUUCCAACAGCGAGAAACUCAAGGGCCACAGAGGGGGGUGACUUUUCCAGCAUCACUGCCCACCCUCCAACCUUCUGGGAGGCUGAGAAGCUUUUCUGUCAUGUCCCAUCAGGGCCCUCAAACCCCAGGAAACACCUCACUUCCCCAGAGCAGGGGCCUGAUGAGUGACCACAGCCCCUAAUCAUGGAGCAUCUGGUUUCAUCCUGGUCCCUGUGGAUUCUUUUAACAACAAGAUCACGCGGAGAGACAUCAUACCCAGGGACGUGAUGCUUCGGCGAUUCGUCUCUCUUUCAUUUUGUUCACCUGAUACACGUUUUAAAUGACUACGGGGCUGUGUACACAGGAAGCCUUGAUUCACUAGAAAGAACCGUGGCGGGUUUUCUUAGAAGAAGACAAAGUCAGGAAUUUAAGGCAUCCACACAUGUCCAUUGAGCAGAGUGGAGACAAAGAUGUCUCUCCCGCUGCUGUGUCCGGGAACACAGCUGCCCACACACGCCCACCACACCCUCGGAUCAGAGCCUGCCACUGAUAUCCACGGUGUGAAAGGGCUUGGAACCCACUGUCAUCGUUAUCACCAUCCCUCGACCCCAAGAAGCCAACACCAUGAGCUUGCAAAGGCACUCCAACAGGAACGCUCACUUGUGUUCCCAGGAAUACACACAGACGCCAGAUAUUUACUUCUGGUUCCAACUUCUCCUGGGUUCAUCCUCUUUCAAGUCCUGGAAACUCUGGGCACCACUUCUUGCCCUACAAUCCCUCCGUCAGAUCCCCCCAUCGCCCACUCUCCCAGGAAGCUCCCCCACCUGGACACCUCCAAAUCCUCCUCAAAGCCGUCUCUGACUCCCCCUCUUCCCGGCCUUCUCGCUGGCCUCUUUACACUAAUUUCCUGCUAGAACGAUCAUAAUGGGUUCAAAUGCUGCCGCUUGCACACCUAUCUCCCCCGUCACGGGGCAGGUUGUGGGAGCAGGGCGCAGGGCUGAUGUACCCCCUUACCUCCAGCCCCUCAGCAUGGGCCCGGGCACAUGGGUGGGGGGUGGAGUAGGGCCUCAAAGAAGCAUGAUCUAAAUCCCUGGGCUCUGUUUUCCUCCAACUUAGAGUGUAGUGAAAGAGCUCUAAUGACAAAGAAGGUAAAUUCUAGGUAUUCUGAACAGAGACCAGGCCAUCCUUUCCUGAGUACUUCACAGCGAAGCCAAGACCUCACUGGUGAGUAACUGUCAACUGCCCAACAGUGGGAGUGAAGAACUUUCCCAGGAGAGAGAGAGUCACAGACAAAUGUUGUAAGGAGGGAGGGAGCAACUUGUGUAAGGACCGAAAGGCCAGUGGUGCCUCCGCAAAGCAAUGGGGCGAUGGGCAAGAGUUCAUGGAUUAUGCGUAUCGGUUAGGUUAGGAUGGAUUACGCUGCGUAACACACAAUUCUCUAAAUCUCAGUGGCCUACAAUAAAGUUUCUUUAUGUCUCAGACUACAUGCACAUGUGGCUCUCCUUCGUCUCUUCUCCCCUCUGGACUCAGGUUGACAGAGCAGUCUGUCUCUAUCUGGAAUAUUGCCAUUGUCGUGGAAAAAGGAAAAGAAAAGUGGUAAAUUACUCACUGGUUCUUAACGCGUGUGCUCACAUCUGUUUUCACUGUUCAGCAGCCCCUCUGCCAUGCCUGAGGACAAAAUGGGCCGUGCUGUAUAAUCCUCCCACCGAGCAGGGCACUUCGAUACAGGGCACCGAAUGUGGGGGAGUGGUAAUCCAGUUCCACACCGUGCUUAUGAGUUUGACGUCUUUCCUAGGAUCAGUGAAAUCUGUUGAAUAAACUGUUCAUUUCUAAAAAUCCCUCUGGCUGUAGUGAGAGACACAGAUUGGAAGUGGGCAAGGGUGGGAUUCGGGAGAAAAUUCAGGAGGCUGCCUCAGUUGCCCAGGCAAAAAAAAAAAGAAAAGUACUUUACACUAGGGUCAUGGCAGUGGAAAUGGAGAGAAGCCAAGAGAUUGAAAAGAUGGAAGGGUCUAGUGAUGUACAAAGAGGAGCAGAGGUGAGUGAAUGUGUGACCCCAGAAUGGCGAAAAGAUACAGCAGGCUUGGCUUCUCAUGUCUUAAACAGUUGCUGGCUCCCAUCUUUGGGGAGGACCAGCUACUCUACUCUCUGCUUGUCCUUGGGCUGUCUAUGUUCUCCUAAGAAAUCUCCCUUCUUGCUUGACAAAAAAGGCUGAGCUCAAUAAAGAUGGGAAGACACGGAUGGGGUGAGCAGCCGAGUGAGCCGACAAAUGAGUGACACAGUGACCAGGGGAAUUAAUUCAUGUCUCCAAGUGUUCAAAGAGUGAAGAGAAACUAGACUCAACCGGAAGAAAAAGAAAGUCCUCCCACUGGGCAUGCCUCAAAAGGAUCCCUCACCUCCCUAGUGACACAUCAGGCAUCUUUCUUCUUCCACGGGGCUGUGACCAAUUUCGGCUAUAACAGAGAAAGGGGAAUGGGUGAGAGAAGAAGAAGGGAGGGACAGGGAGGCAGAGGAAGGAUGGGCUCCAUGGACACAUAGCAACCUCUAUCGGAUCCUCUCCUCUCCUCCAUGUGGCCUCCCUCCCUAUGCUUCCUUUUAGAGUUCCAGACUUGACUUUCAGUGGUGGGAGGGCUUGGGAUUCACAAACACCUCAAAAGAGAAUUUCUGUAGCAGCAGCAUUAGGCCACCUGACAGGAACUUAGAGCCUUGGGGUCCACACAGGCACAGAAAGCCGCGGGGUCUCCUCUGCCCUGGGUGUUCUCAAUAGCCAAGAAGAGGAAGGUUCAGACACAGAACUGUAUGGCACCUUCUCGGCCCCUCCCCGACCCAUGUUCCCAGUGCACCCCGAUCAGCUCGGGGAAGGGGCCACAUCGAUUCCUGCCACCUGCCUGUGCCGGGGCUGUCUGCACGCUCAGAAACCAUCGGCUUCCCAUUAGGCAGAUCAAUAGCCUCCACUGGUUUCCAAUUUGUGUUUCCAGAAAUUCAUCUCCCAGCCACCUUUUUAAUUAACCCCCCUACACCACACCUGGGGCACAGAUACACCACCCGCCCUGGGCCACCUCUGCAGACCACAGACCACGACGCUCCGCGAGCCACAGGGGAGCUGCAGGUGUGUUUAAAGCUGACCAGCUGCUUCCCGGUCACCGCAGGAGCUGACCCUGCUGGCUGGAUGCCAUCCACUCUGUCCCCUGCUCCUCGCUGAACCCCCGUGGAAGGGGCUGGGUCCUCCCUCACAGAAAGAAAGCAGGUCAAGAAAGAGGCCAAGGCAGUGUCCUGAGGUCCCCCAGCUGGCAAGAGCUAGGACAAAGCGCUCCCCAGAUGCCGCAGGACAAUGGGGUCUGGCUGGCAGGUGAGCAGGAGGGGCCAGCAGCUGUAGGUUCAGGGCAGGAAAAGGUGGAGGGAGUGUGAUCCCCAGGAGCCUCUGCUUUCCCACACCUGGGGUCUCCUGGGUAUUCCGCACUGCUCACCUGUCUACCCCUCCGGGGCCUAGCACCCCAUCAGUGUCUCCAUCACUGCUGCAUCCCUGGUGCCUGGCACAUAGUAGGUGCUCAGUAAUGGCCGCUAAAUGAGCAGUAAAUACUUGCCGCACUUUGCCCUGGGCAGUGUUCCCACAGCUUCUCUAAAUGACCUUAUUUCAAUUUCACAGCUGUCCUCGAGGCGGGCAAAACUAGUGUAUGCAUUUGAUAGGUGGGAAGACUGAGGCCCCGAGAGGUUCAGUGACUUCCCCAAGGUCACAUGGCGAGUCAGCGGUAGAGCUGCGAUCUGAACCUGACUCUGGAACUGCACUCCACGCUCCCUUACCUAUUUUCCCGGUGGCCUCAGCUCUGAAGGGCAGGAACUGGUUCCUGUGCCCCUUGGAACCUCCACCAUAUAAACGUGUUUGUUGAGUGAAUAAAUGAGUGAAUUAUGCACUCCUUGUCCUUUAAAACACAGUACAGUCAACCAGUCUGCUGGCACAAAUCUGGAGUGUUUCUGGUCGGGGAUGAAGGGGAGGGAGGAGUGAAUCUCCUGGGGGACCCAGAGGUGACAAGCCUCUCAGUAGUUCCAACUCGGGGGCCAUUACUAGGGACCCUCUGAUCUCCCCCCACCUCCUUGCUCACCAGUCUGUUAUAUUGGGGUUCUCUGUCAUGUAUACAGAGGGCACAGAGCCAUGAUUUGGUUUUAUGUGGUGUCUUGAGACUUUCCAGUGAGAUAAGUGGAUUACUGUUGACCCAACAUCUGGGCAAAAAGAGCCUGCUAUGCGUGGUCAUCCAAGUCAGCUUCUGGAGGUGGCCAAAGUGAGACAUGAAGGGAAGGGGGCCAUGAUGGACCCUGCACCUGUGGCCAGUGAGAGCAGCAUUUGCUGUAUGCAAGUAUGGUUCUGAGCUCUUGACGCAUUUAAUCCUGAGCACAGCUCCACGAAAUUGUGCCGGUGAAUGAGGCCAAGUAAUGUGCCCAAAGUCACACAGCAGCAGGAGUUGGGCAGGGAAUUCAGCCUUCACCACGCCGUGCCCUUAACCCUGGGGCAACGCUGCUUCCCUGUGGCACAGCGGGCUAACCCGCUGUGAGCACAUGAGUGGGUGUUGGGGGAGAAUCCACGGAUCUGCACUGCCUGGUGCCUCCUACAGGGGGCUACGGCCCAUGGGCCCCCGAUUCAUCCGCAUCAGAUGACGUCCCCUUCUCACUCCCGUGGAGCGUGGCUGGGCCCCGAGUACGCACUCCAAACACAUUCAUAAAACCAGUGACCGAACAGACGUCUGGGGGUGGGGGGAACAGCCAUUAUGGAAGUUCGAGGCCUUGGAGUUCACACCCUCACAAUCCUACGUGUGCAUCCACUUCUCCCAAAUAUAUCAUCUCAGAUCUGCUUGAGAAGAGAUGUCCAGUGCCAGCUCCGUGACCCAUUAAAGCUAACCAGCCGUGCGGAGUUAGCGGAAAUGAUGAAAAUAGUUGAAGGGUCGGGUGGUUUUAUGGGAAGGCUUACAUCUUAAUGAAAUGCCAGCCCAGAGCAACAGUGACCAUGUGAGAUGCCACAAAGCUGGCAGAUCCCUGGCCACUCCUCGCUGCUUUUGCCAUUUUCGAUGUGAAGCGGGUGUGGCUUGGCUCAGGUGACCACCAGGGAACCAGGGAGGCCUCGGGGCCUCCGUGUGACCCCAGAGGUCAUCCAGGAGCCAGAAGAAGAUGGGCCAGGGCUGAUCAGGGCAGUGGUAGAGAAAAGCAACACCAUUUCCCACUCCAAUGGCAAAGUCCAGGCCCUCUAGGAAUCAUUCAGAUAAGUAAAGGCAGUGGGCAGUUAGACGCUUCCUACUUGUUUAAUCUUCCCAGGAAUCAGUUCAGGUGAGACUUACUGUCUCCAUCUUAUGCACGAAGGAACUAAACAGGCUCCGAGAGGCCAAGUGCCUCACCAAAGGCCACACAGUGGGUAGGUGACAGAUAUCACAGGAUUAGGACCAAAGCGGGUUCCAUUACUCACGUUCCAAGAGGAAGCACUGCCCAACAUCAGGAGGGAACCCCAAAUAUGGCCUCAGGGUGGUCAGUGCUUUCUUAACAGUAUGGUUUUGCCAGGACCUCCACUCAAGGUCUAGGACUCUGCCUCCGACUGCCUGAUCUCCCAGAACUUUGAGCCGCUGGGUCUGUCACUCCAGGUAAGCCCCCGUGGCCACGGACGAGACGAUGGAGCCCUUGGCUCGCUGCCAGCUGGCCUCAGAAUGUGGCUCAGCAAGACCCGCGAGGGACCCGUACCUCCCCACGCUGUGUGCCAGCCUGGCCUGUCACAGCCUGCAGCCAAGCUCCCGGGUCCUUCACCCAGGGAGCCCAGGGGACCAGCCCCUCAUGCUGCCACUGAUACCUUACAGCCUUGAAAUUCUAAAAACCUAGAAAAUCACAGCACGGUACAAACGAAACGAAAGUCACCCAUAAUCUCACCACCUGGAAUGAACCACUCUGCCUUUUUGUGAA
This is a long non-coding RNA of Felis catus (domestic cat), 14002 nucleotides long. RefSeq lists it as uncharacterized. The transcript is spliced from 4 exons. The record is from RefSeq and is a predicted model, not a curated record. NCBI's taxonomy places the organism in Eukaryota, Metazoa, Chordata, Mammalia, Carnivora, Felidae.